Myotis lucifugus (little brown bat) is the source of this 105-nucleotide small nuclear RNA. The record is from Ensembl. NCBI's taxonomy places the organism in Eukaryota, Metazoa, Chordata, Mammalia, Chiroptera, Vespertilionidae.
CAUGUCAAAAAUAUAUUCAGUGCCCACUGUGUAACAAUACAGAGAAGAUUAGCAUGGCUCCAAUGAAAGAAUGGCAUGCAAGUCUAUGUAACAUCCAUACAUUUU